GCUAAAUUUGGGAUAGGUGGCAGGUGGCAAGGGCCCCAGGAGCUUCCCCUUUCAUCUGGCUACCAUUUUCAUUCUGCAAGAGCAUAUGAGUGAGAGUGUGUGCUCCAGGGAAUCAUGUGGAAUGAAAUAAUCCCCAGCAGAAAUGGAGUGUAAUGAGGCUAGCCACUGGGCAGUAAAAUAUCGGUGUCUGGGAGUUCACCAGUUUUGUGCCUCCAUGGAAUUCUUCCAUAACCUCCAAUAAAUGGUGUUAUGGAAGAAUUCUCUUUUCUUUUUAAUUUUUUUUUGCCUAAAGACAUUCCUCUCUCAGGUUAGACAGAUCUCUGCUUGCUUGUCAGUCCCUAAUGACUUCACUUGAAGUCACAUAAAACAGGAAAGCAGCUUUAGACUCAAAUAGAAAUGACUAAAUUCUUGACUUGGUAUCAGGCCAUAUGCACUUUGGUUUGAGAUACAUUCAUGAUCCCAAACAGCCUUGAAGCCUUUGACAAUCUUAGACACUGGAACAAGUAGCAGCACAAGGCCUGUGUUUUUAUCAUCAACAUUUCACAAGCUACAGCAGAGAGCAGUCAUGUGCAAAAUAGCCUGAUCAGUGGCAAUUCCUGACUGGUGCUGAGGAACUGCUCAGAAACAUGUGAUUUGGCCUUAAUCAAAGCAAUGCUAGGCAUCAUCCUAAGAAUUUCGAAGUAGCCAAUAAGCUGAAAGAUGUGCUCCUUGUCAAAAACAAGAUUCCAAAGUGGCUUUGUCAGCUGUGUCCAUCAUUUGCUGUAGGUAGUGAGUGAGCUAUCAGGUGGAUAUGGAUUAACACCAAGGGCAAGCAACCCUCGAAAUGUCACAUGUCAACACACCCUAUUUCAUGGCCAUGGCUCAGAAAGGCAGUUCUGCAGUCAUUCUUCAAUAACCCAGAGAACAUGAAUAUACAUAUGGUGUUUGGCAAAUCCAGGAGCCAGACAUCUUAACCAGGACAACACAGUGCAGAACUUUCAGCACAGAUCAUGAUGAAGGACCUUGGAGACCUUUAUUCUUCAGGACAUCACUCUCAGAAGAGUGAGUAAUACACAGCAAAGAAACUUAUGCUGAAUCAAUUCAAAUUUCUUUCUUCUUCUUUCCAGAAGGACAACUAGAUAGGUCUACGGAGUAUAUUAUUUUUUUUAAAAACCAAUUUUUUCUCAGAAAAAAGAAGAAUGAAAGAAAAAUAAAUUACGUAUCUGAUGAUGCUACUUCCA
RNAcentral lists this long non-coding RNA (1220 nucleotides) under Cyanistes caeruleus (blue tit). RNAcentral describes it as "lncRNA (ENSCCEG00000006000.1)". Lineage: Eukaryota; Metazoa; Chordata; Aves; Passeriformes; Paridae. The record is from RNAcentral.